AUAAAAAUAAUGAUUGGGAAAAAGCAAUUCGUAUUCUGUUUCAGAGAUCCGGUGGCUGGUGAAAACCGGUACAGAUAUUUAUUGCGAAACUCACCCAUGAAUUCUUUUGCUGAAUGUAAGAAUUGAACUUAUUUAGGUAAAAGCGUGCAUCCGCGUUAUAGGAUAUCAGCCGUUGUACUUAAUUUGGCUGAAUUAUGAGCCUAAUGUAGGGUGGUACCGCGAUAUUGUCGCCCCUAUU
RNAcentral lists this non-coding RNA (238 nucleotides) under Pelosinus fermentans. RNAcentral's name for it is "T-box sequence". It matches the Rfam family "T-box leader". From Rfam's summary of the family: Uncharged tRNA acts as the effector for transcription antitermination of genes in the T-box leader family. T-boxes are found upstream of many aminoacyl-tRNA synthetase genes and some amino acid biosynthetic genes usually in Gram-positive bacteria. The record is from RNAcentral. Lineage: Bacteria; Bacillati; Bacillota; Negativicutes; Selenomonadales; Sporomusaceae.